CUCUGGGGCACCGGGUGACGUGGUGCCUUUGAUGACACUAUUGCUGCAAUUUUCAGAAGAUCCAAAGGACCGCCGGGCCCCACGAAUAGAAACUCUGCUGGGCACAGCGGCAGGUGGCUCUUUCAUGCCUUGCUCAAAGAUUUUUCUGUGUGUCUGUGUGUCAAGGACCGCCGGAUUCCUGGCAUUUCCUGCUCCCUGGUUCCAGCUCAUCCCGGGCUGAGUUAUCUGAUGAACGCUUAAAGACAGGCCCUCCACCCUUCUCCGCAUUUAACCAGAUCAACAGAAUGAGUAUUUACAUCCUCACAGAAACAGACUCUUAUUUUAUGAAUAGACUCAGAUCACUGGUGACGCUUUAGGCCUGCUAUGAUCAUUUAUAGUAUGUUAGUAGUACAUUAGACUAGGCCUGAUUCUUGCCUGUGUAUCUUGGCUUAACCCUUUGCCUUUCUGUUUCUGACUGUGUUUGCACCUCACCUGCACUAUUGCUUGUGUUAUUGGAUUUCCCCUCUUGUCAAGGCCUCUGGAUACCGUUUGCUGUCGACUGUCUCAUGCCAGUUUUGGAUUACUCUUUUGUCUUGUCCUCUAUAUCUCUGUUUGCUAUUGUCAGAACCUUGCCUGUUUUAUGACAACGCCUUUAAAUAAAAGCUUUGUAGAUGGA
Long non-coding RNA from Carassius gibelio (silver crucian carp), 655 nucleotides. RefSeq lists it as uncharacterized. Lineage: Eukaryota; Metazoa; Chordata; Actinopteri; Cypriniformes; Cyprinidae. The transcript has 2 exons. The record is from RefSeq and is a predicted model, not a curated record.